GCACCUACCACGAGAAACUUGAAUUCAGCAGGCAACCUGCAUAGGAGCAGAGAGUUGUCCAAGAGCCUUGGAACAGGUCUCUAGAAAAAGCUUACUAACACCUGAUCCAUGGAUAACUUGAAGAUUCAUUUAUUUUAAACAGUACCCUAAAGAGCGAGCCCCCACCCCCCAAAAGAGCAGGGCUGCACCGGAAGAACGUUGUGGUUCUGGGGGUGGCUGGUUCUUCUGUAUGCACCGAGUCCAGCAUGAUACCAAUGUCAACAUUGCUUGUUGACUUGACUUCUAGGCCCUAGCUACAAACCAGGGAAAGAAAACAUUUAGAAUGCAAACCUCAUCAAGUUCAAUCGUGAAAAUGCGAGAGUUCAAGUUGGAAGCAGAGGUGGGGGCAGGGCCAAGAGAAGGACAAAGCAAGGAUGCAGCAAUGAAUUGAGAGACACUGCCAAGGAUUUAUGGAUCAGAAAGGAAAGAUCUAAGGCUACUGCUUCAGUUAUCAAGAUGACCUACAGAGAAACUAAAUUAGGUACAUAAACAAUUAUGCUGAAAGCUGUGGGUGAAGGAGGAGCCGAGGGUUAACUGGCCUAACUCAUCAUUAGCAGGACUCAAGAGGUAACAUCUAAAACAUCAAGCCUGAAAACACUGAUUUAUCAGCUUGAAAAUAAGGACCAGAAGAGAGUUCAAAACAGGGUAAGAAGUUCUCUUGCCUGACUGGGCACAAUGGCGCAUGCCUGUAAUCUCAGCAGUUUGGGAAGCUGAGGCAGGAGGAUCUCAAGUUCAAAGCCAGCCUCAGCAACUUAGUGAGGCCUUAAGCAACUCUGUGAGACCCUGGUCUCUAGAUAAAAUACAAAAAAAGGGGUGAGGAUGUGGUUCAGUGGUUAAGCACCCCUGGGCUCAAUCCCCAGUAUAAAAAAAAAAAAAGUUACACUGCCUAGGUGGCAAAAAGGAGGGGUAAGGAAGGGGAACCAAGGAACUGGCAGGAAACAGUUGUCCAGAACUCCCAUAGGUAUAAUUUUGACUUAAGAAACAUAUAUUUUACAGUCACUGUGGGUUUAGGUAUUGGGAGCCAGUAAAAGAGUUGGUUCUUGGGCUGAUGUCAAGGUUGUUGGGAUAUUUAAAAAUAAUUUAUAUGGGCUGGGGCUGUAGCUCAGCUGCAGAGCGCUUGCCUAGCACUCGUGUGGCACAGGGUUCUAUCCUCAGCACCGCAUAAAAAUAAACAAAUAGGGGAUGGGGUUGUGGCUCAGAGGUAGAGCGCUCGCCUAGCAUGCAUGAGGCACUGGGUUUUCCAUCCUCAGCACCACAAAAAUGUAAAAUAAAGAUAUUGUGUCCACCUAAAACUUAAGAAUAAAUAUUUUUUUUAAAAAAAAUAAACAAAUAAAAUAAAGGAAUUGUGUCCAUCUACAACUACAAAAAAAAAAAAAAAAGGAAUUUAUAAAGCUGGGAUAUAGCUCAGUGGUGCAGUACUUGCCUGGUGUGAGCAAGGCUCUAGAUUCGAUCCCAUUCCCAGCAGUUUAAAAAAAAAAUCAUAUGUAUUUGACUUACAAUAAGUAGAACAUUUAUUUUUAUUUUUUUUUAGAGAGAGGAGAGGGAG
RNAcentral lists this long non-coding RNA (1585 nucleotides) under Marmota monax (woodchuck). Lineage: Eukaryota; Metazoa; Chordata; Mammalia; Rodentia; Sciuridae. The record is from RNAcentral.